Pseudonaja textilis is the source of this 460-nucleotide non-coding RNA. The record is from RefSeq and is a predicted model, not a curated record. NCBI's taxonomy places the organism in Eukaryota, Metazoa, Chordata, Lepidosauria, Squamata, Elapidae.
ACCAGGAGGUCUACUAAGAAAGCUCUUUCUUUUGUCCUAUCCAGAUGUGUGUCUCUGCUCCAGUCGAGAGGUCUUCAGUCAGAUAGAGGGUAAUAUGAAAUACAAACUUAUGACCAAGACCACAGGCCAAACUAGUCAAAGGUUUACAUUCUAUAAUUAGUUACAUUUUCAAAAAAUAGCGACAGAUUCAGCUGAUUUCCAAUCAAUAUAUCUGGCUGAUUUCAGUGGUUAAAUCUAAGCAUGGAUUCAGGUAAUGGUGGCACUGUGGUUAGAAUGCAGUACUGCAGGCUAAGUCACUGCUCACUCUAGGAGUUGCAUCCUGACCAACUCAAAGUUGUCUCAUCCUUCCAUCCUUCUGAGAUCAGUAAAAUGAGGAUCCAGAUUGUUUGGGAUAAUAUGCUGACUCUGUAAACUGAUUAAAGAGGGCUGUAAAGCACUGUGAAGCAGUAUAUAAGUCUAA